Molecule: ribozyme, 94 nt
Filed under: Reverse genetics vector pT7-L
Also listed under: 9 other names
Description: Hepatitis D virus ribozyme
Rfam family: Hepatitis delta virus ribozyme
About the family: The ribozyme acts to process the RNA transcripts to unit lengths in a self cleavage reaction. The ribozyme is found to be active in vivo in the absence of any protein factors and is the fastest known naturally occurring self-cleaving RNA.
Source: RNAcentral
GGGUCGGCAUGGCAUCUCCACCUCCUCGCGGUCCGACCUGGGCAUCCGAAGGAGGACGUCGUCCACUCGGAUGGCUAAGGGAGAGCUCGGAUCC